GAAAAUUCUAGAACUGAAGAUGGGUUAAGCCACAGACACUGCUUCUCAUCUCCAUACCUCCGAGCUCCUGACAGAGAUGAAAAGCCCAGGGAAAGCCAUUUACAAUGGAGAUGCUGACCUGUCACUCCACAGAAGCCUGAAGGAUGGCACAUCGAUCGGCUCCCAGGCCCUGCAACUCCCAGAUAACCCCCAGGCAACUGAAGAGCAGAAACCAACUGUUUGUGGCCAGCCCUGAGCUAGGGAC
RNAcentral lists this long non-coding RNA (244 nucleotides) under Homo sapiens (human). RNAcentral's name for it is "non-protein coding lnc-TCF7-3:1". Lineage: Eukaryota; Metazoa; Chordata; Mammalia; Primates; Hominidae. The record is from RNAcentral.